Molecule: ribosomal RNA, 499 nt
Filed under: uncultured bacterium
Lineage: Bacteria
Description: partial 16S ribosomal RNA
Rfam family: Bacterial small subunit ribosomal RNA
Source: RNAcentral
GACGAACGCUGGCGGCGUGCCUAAUACAUGCAAGUCGAGCGAAGUUUUUCUGGUGCUUGCACUAGAAAAACUUAGCGGCGAACGGGUGAGUAACACGUAAAGAACCUGCCUCAUAGACUGGGACAACUAUUGGAAACGAUAGCUAAUACCGGAUAACAGUAUUUCUCGCAUGAGAGAUAUUUAAAAGUUGGUUAUGCUAACACUAUGAGAUGGCUUUGCGGUGCAUUAGCUAGUUGGUGGGGUAAAGGCCCACCAAGGCGACGAUGCAUAGCCGACCUGAGAGGGUGAUCGGCCACACUGGGACUGAGACACGGCCCAGACUCCUACGGGAGGCAGCAGUAGGUAAUCUUCCGCAAUGGGCGAAAGCCUGACGGAGCAACGCCGCGCGAGUGAAGAAGGAUUUCGGUUCGUAAAGCUCUGUUGUUAGGGAAGAAUGGAUAUGUAGUAACUAUACAUGUAAGAGACGGUACCUAACCAGAAAGCCACGGCUAACUACGUG